RNAcentral lists this ribosomal RNA (468 nucleotides) under uncultured bacterium. RNAcentral describes it as "partial 16S ribosomal RNA". It matches the Rfam family "Bacterial small subunit ribosomal RNA", at positions 28 to 507 of the family's 1533-position model. The record is from RNAcentral.
GACGAACGCUGGCGGCGUGCUUAACACAUGCAAGUCGAACGGAAAGGCCCUGCUUUUGUGGGGUGCUCGAGUGGCGAACGGGUGAGUAACACGUGAGUAACCUGCCCUUGACUUUGGGAUAACUUCAGGAAACUGGGGCUAAUACCGGAUAGGAGCUCCUGCUGCAUGGUGGGGGUUGGAAAGUUUCGGCGGUUGGGGAUGGACUCGCGGCUUAUCAGCUUGUUGGUGGGGUAGUGGCUUACCAAGGCUUUGAUGGGUAGCCGGCCUGAGAGGGUGACCGGCCACAUUGGGACUGAGAUACGGCCCAGACUCCUACGGGAGGCAGCAGUGGGGAAUAUUGCACAAUGGGCGGAAGCCUGAUGCAGCAACGCCGCGUGCGGGAUGACGGCCUUCGGGUUGUAAACCGCUUUCGCCUGUGACGAAGCGUGAGUGACGGUAAUGGGUAAAGAAGCACCGGCUAACUACGUG